Molecule: ribosomal RNA, 684 nt
Filed under: Triticum aestivum (bread wheat)
Lineage: Eukaryota; Viridiplantae; Streptophyta; Magnoliopsida; Poales; Poaceae
Description: partial small subunit ribosomal RNA
Source: RNAcentral
AUGAUGGAGCAGGUCAAGGUGGUUCGAGAAGCCAGCCAAGCGGCUUAUGACGCGAGUUUAGCUCUUCAGAGUAACGUCCAGAAAUCCUGUGAACUUGUGGCUCUCUACACUGAGUUGGAGAACAAACAGAUCCAGCUCGACCUUGACUUGAAGCUCGCUCAACAGAACCUGCAGAAGGCGCGAGACGAAGCAAAAGAUAAACUGGAGGAAGCUCUGAAGAAGAAGGAUCAAGAUCUUGCCGAAGCACAGAAGGAGGCCUCGAGCAAAAUGAAGCUUGCAGAAGAGAAACUGGCUUCGGUCGGAACUCUUGAACAGGAGAACUCCAGACUGAAAACUGCUCUCGAGACAGCUAAUCGAGAGGUCAGCCGACUAAAGAACGACAAGAUGGUUCUGCACGACCAGGCGGGUGAGCUGGCGGGGAAGGUAAAUGAUCUGGAGGCUUAUCUCGGUGGACUUGCCAAGAAGCUGUUCGUCAUGCUCGAAGAAUUCUGCCAGAGCUUCGAAGAGGAAACCAGUCGAGUGGAGCCAGGCUUGGAUCCCGCCAAUUCUCUUGUGAAGGACGAGGCUGCUAUGAACGUGCUCCGACUGGAGUCUCGUGUUACCAGCGUUGUUGACUAUCUUGCUCGGCUGAAGGUUGCGAUGUCGCGGAUCGACACAUCACUCUGGCCUGGAACGACUCUUUAG